This is a long non-coding RNA of Chelonia mydas (Green sea turtle), 195 nucleotides long. RefSeq lists it as uncharacterized. The record is from RefSeq and is a predicted model, not a curated record. The transcript is spliced from 3 exons. Lineage: Eukaryota; Metazoa; Chordata; Testudines; Cheloniidae.
UCUGCAAACAGAAAAGGAGAACGCCACUAGACAUCACCUUCAGCUCCCACCUAAAACCUCUCCAGCACAUCAUCAAGGAUUUGCAACCUAUCCUUAAGGACUAACCCGUUACUCUCACAGAUCUUGGGAGACAGACCAGUCCUUGCUUACAGACAGCCCCCCAACCUGAAGCAAAUACUCACCAGCAACCACACA